GGGGGAAACUGACUCAACCGAGCGACUCUAUGUUUUAUAACUGGCUGCAGUAAUCUGACUGGACUAAGGGAGCAUAAUUAAUAAUUUUUUAAUUGGGGACUGGUAUGAAAGGAAUGUAACUCUAUAGAAGGUUUUGUAGAAAGAGCUUGAAUUUAAAUUAAAAGUAAAAAUGCUUUUAUUUAAUCUCGGGACGACAAGACCCUAUAAGCUUUUAAUUGAUAAAUUUUUGACUGGGGUGGUCAGUGAAGAUUUAGAUCUUUUCUUUUUAUAAGGAAAUGAAUAAUAAGUUACUCUAGGGUUAACAGCGUAAUAUAAUUUAAGAGUUCUUAUUUUAAAUUAAGUUUGCGACCUCUAUGUUGAAUUAAAUGUAAAUCACAUGACAGGAGUUUGAUUAAUGUAAACUGUUCAACUUAUAAA
RNAcentral lists this ribosomal RNA (417 nucleotides) under Mexotroglinus aff. sbordonii JCL-2017. RNAcentral describes it as "partial 16S ribosomal RNA". The record is from RNAcentral. Lineage: Eukaryota; Metazoa; Arthropoda; Arachnida; Opiliones; Stygnopsidae.